ACAGGAAGAACUGCAUCACAGAAUAUUUUGCAAGAACCUGAAUCAUCCCAUUUGGCUAAAAAGAGUUCUGGCUGCUGAGGUAGCAGGACUGAGACCGGGGCUGGACCCUGACUGAGACCCAGGAGCCAGCAGCCUCUAGCCACUCCAGUCACAGGCACAGCCCAGGGACCCACCGCCACGCCCUCCUGCAAGAUAAAGGAAGCAGCAACUCAGACAUCAGGGUGGACACACCCACCAAAACACAAGGAGAGGCCCUGAAAAGUAACUGGAAAGUCACAGACCGUUCUGGCAAGUGGAGUUGAUGAGAAACAGGCCCCAGAGACUCGGAUUGGAGCGAGAGAGUUCCAUGGGCUCAGCUGGGAAAUGAGGCACAAGGAGCCAGCCCCAGAACAGAGACCCCUCCAAAGCCAACAGCUCCAGAACCGCCUCUUGCCACAACAUUCAAUGCCCUGGCUUUGAUGUUUUGUGUCUCUUGCUGACUCACAAACUUGGGAGGUAACUGGCUUUCCCUAUCAAAAAUUACUAACCCUUGAGGGGCAAUUUCGCGAUAGCUGUCAACAUUUUCAAUGUUCAUAAUCUGGACACCAUUGAUUCUGCCUACUUUCAGGGGUUUUUCCUCAGAUAUGCCCAGACAUACACAGGAUUUCUGGAUCAUUGAUUAGGGAAAAAAUGAUGCCAUCUAAUUGUCUUUCAUCAAGAACCCACUAUUUGGCUGGGUGCAGUGGCUCACACCUGUAAUCCCAGCACUUUAAGA
RNAcentral lists this long non-coding RNA (754 nucleotides) under Homo sapiens (human). RNAcentral describes it as "HSALNT0295779". Lineage: Eukaryota; Metazoa; Chordata; Mammalia; Primates; Hominidae. The record is from RNAcentral.